CAGUUGAUCUCUUGACAAGGAUUUGGAAUUUUGGCUGAAAAGCAGUUAGUUUUGAUCCUACAGGUGGUGACUGGUAAAUGAUCAUACUGGUAAACUGGUUAUUUUAAGAUGGAAUUUUGUCAAAAUUCACAACAUUCACUUCUGGGUUGCAGACCGCGCUAGUUCCGUACCACUGCCAUGCUACCCUAUGGACAUGGCGGAGGUGCACAACUCCACUAUUCAGUUUACAAAGCCAUCAUGAUGAGCUGCCCCUUUGCAAAAUUUGCAU
This 268-nucleotide long non-coding RNA is filed under the name Setaria viridis. RNAcentral describes it as "long non-coding RNA (SVIR_LNC008680)". The record is from RNAcentral. Lineage: Eukaryota; Viridiplantae; Streptophyta; Magnoliopsida; Poales; Poaceae.